RNAcentral lists this unclassified non-coding RNA (193 nucleotides) under uncultured fungus. RNAcentral describes it as "sequence contains ITS1". The record is from RNAcentral. Lineage: Eukaryota; Fungi.
UUAACUAUUAUAUAGUACUCAGACGACACUGAUAAACAGAGUUUGGGAGUCCGUUGGCGGGCACACUGGAGGACUCCAGGCGGCGGACCGCUACCCGCCAAGGCAACAUCUCGUUAUAAUACACAAGGGUGGGAGGUCUACCCGUGAGGGCACGAACUCUGUAAUGAUCCUUCCGCAGGUUCACCUACGGAAA